UUUCGUGCUGGGCUAGCCUGUAAAGCACGGGCACAAUGUGCGUCCUGUGCCGGCCCACACGACCUGCAUCGCGAGCGCCCCCGCCCCCUCGCUUGGCUCCUAUCGUACCCGCCUACGCCGUGCCGCCGCAUGUCUCUCCAUGCGCACCCCAUGCGCACCGCAGCUUGCCAGCUUGCUGGUGCCACCCCCAGGACCCAGCUCACCGUCGCAUGCUAGCUCACCACCGUUGCCCCCGUGCGUCGCUGCCUA
This 249-nucleotide long non-coding RNA is filed under the name Setaria viridis. RNAcentral's name for it is "long non-coding RNA (SVIR_LNC010326)". The record is from RNAcentral. Lineage: Eukaryota; Viridiplantae; Streptophyta; Magnoliopsida; Poales; Poaceae.